Phrynosoma platyrhinos (Desert horned lizard) is the source of this 72-nucleotide non-coding RNA. Lineage: Eukaryota; Metazoa; Chordata; Lepidosauria; Squamata; Phrynosomatidae. The record is from the annotation of a GenBank genome assembly.
GCCAACGUGGCAUAGUGAUUUGAACAUUGGACUGGGACUCUUGAAGCCAGAGUUCAAAUCUCUGCAUGGCCA